AAAACGACUCUCGGCAACGGAUAUCUCGGCUCUCGCAUCGAUGAAGAACGUAGCGAAAUGCGAUACUUGGUGUGAAUUGCAGAAUCCCGUGAACCAUCGAGUCUUUGAACGCAAGUUGCGCCCGAAGCCAUCCGGCCGAGGGCACGUCUGCCUGGGCGUCACGCAUCGCG
RNAcentral lists this ribosomal RNA (170 nucleotides) under Salicornia virginica. Its description in RNAcentral is "5.8S ribosomal RNA". It matches the Rfam family "5.8S ribosomal RNA". From Rfam's summary of the family: 5.8S ribosomal RNA (5.8S rRNA) is a component of the large subunit of the eukaryotic ribosome. It is transcribed by RNA polymerase I as part of the 45S precursor that also contains 18S and 28S rRNA. Lineage: Eukaryota; Viridiplantae; Streptophyta; Magnoliopsida; Caryophyllales; Amaranthaceae. The record is from RNAcentral.